ACUCCUACGGGAGGCAGCAGUGGGGAAUCUUGCGCAAUGGGCGAAAGCCUGACGCAGCCAUGCCGCGUGAAUGAUGAAGGUCUUAGGAUUGUAAAAUUCUUUCACCGGGGACGAUAAUGACGGUACCCGGAGAAGAAGCCCCGGCUAACUUCGUGCCAGCAGCCGCGGUAAUACGAAGGGGGCUAGCGUUGCUCGGAAUUACUGGGGCGUAAAGGGAGCGUAGGCGGACAUUUAAGUCAGGGGUGAAAUCCCGGGGCUCAACCUCGGAAUUGCCUUUGAUACUGGGGUGUCUUGAGUAUGAGAGAGGUGUGUGGAACUCCGAGUGUAGAGGUGAAAUUCGUAGAUAUUCGGAAGAACACCAGUGGCGAAGGCGACACACUGGCUCAUUACUGACGCUGAGGCUCGAAAGCGUGGGGAGCAAACAGGAUUAGAUACCCUGGUAGCACAGAG
Molecule: ribosomal RNA, 450 nt
Filed under: uncultured bacterium
Lineage: Bacteria
Description: bacterial SSU rRNA
Rfam family: Bacterial small subunit ribosomal RNA
Source: RNAcentral